AACGAACGCUGGCGGCAGGCCUAACACAUGCAAGUCGAGCGCCCUUUCGGGGGAGCGGCGGACGGGUGAGUAACGCGUGGGAAUAUGCCCUUCUCUACGGAAUAGCCUCGGGAAACUGAGAGUAAUGCCGUAUACGCCCUGUGGGGGAAAGAUUUAUCGGGGAAGGAUUAGCCCGCGUUGGAUUAGGUAGUUGGUGGGGUAAUGGCCUACCAAGCCGACGAUCCAUAGCUGGUUUGAGAGGAUGAUCAGCCACACUGGGACUGAGACACGGCCCAGACUCCUACGGGAGGCAGCAGUGGGGAAUCUUAGACAAUGGGGGCAACCCUGAUCUAGCCAUGCCGCGUGAGUGAUGAAGGCCUUAGGGUUGUAAAGCUCUUUCAGCUGGGAAGAUAAUGACGGUACCAGCAGAAGAAGCCCCGGCUAACUCCGUG
RNAcentral lists this ribosomal RNA (431 nucleotides) under uncultured bacterium. Its description in RNAcentral is "partial 16S ribosomal RNA". It matches the Rfam family "Bacterial small subunit ribosomal RNA", at positions 29 to 507 of the family's 1533-position model. The record is from RNAcentral.